RNAcentral lists this unclassified non-coding RNA (2266 nucleotides) under Thrips palmi. RNAcentral's name for it is "sodium-dependent phosphate transport protein 1, chloroplastic-like, transcript variant X1". The record is from RNAcentral. Lineage: Eukaryota; Metazoa; Arthropoda; Insecta; Thysanoptera; Thripidae.
AUGGUAAGACAGAAGAUGUUGGCCAAGACGUCGCGAAUCGUUGCCCUCUGCUCCAUUGCCAACUUCAUCAAUGCCGCGGACCGAGUCAUCAUGCCCAUUGCCAUAGUGCCCAUGACAGAUGAGUACAAGUGGUCUCUUCAUUGGCAAGGAUGGAUCCUGUCCGCAUUUGCGUUUGGUUAUUUUACCAGCCAGAUUAUAGGCGCUUGUGCAGCUAACCGUUUUGGAGGCAAAUUAGUCCUUUUGUUUGCUGUGUUUCUGUGGUCUGUAUCAACCACUAUAACUCCUCUCCUGGCGACUUCAGUUCCAGCUCUUAUAUUCUGUCGGGUCCUCCUGGGCCUCGGUGAAGGAUUGGGAUUGCCAACAAUAUUUCACAUAUUUGCACAUAGUGUUCCCAUAGAGGAAAGAUCUCGCGCCUUUGGCUAUCUUGUUGCUGCAGGAUCUGUUGGACAAUUUGCAGCCUCUGUUUUGUGUCCUCAUCUUGCAUGGCAAACUGGUUUUUAUCUGUUUGGAACCCUUGGAAUUACGUGGGUUCUUAUUUGGUUAAUGUUAUACCAUGAUAACUCUAGUACUUCAGCUGAUGAAAUACCAUUAUUUGUUCCUAAGGUCACCAACCCCAAUGUUCAGUGGUGUGAGUUUGUCAGCCAUUGGCCAUUAUGGGCAUUGUAUAUAGCACAUUUUGCUAUGAAUUGGUCAAAUUACAUUAUCAUGCAGUGGUUACCAACGUAUUUGGCCCGAAAUCUUGGUGCCAACAAAGAAAGCAUAAGUCUAACUGCUGUACCCUAUGUGGUCAACUCCUUGACAGGAAUUCUUUCAGGCCAUUUCGCUGACACAUUAAUACUACGUCGGUGGACUGUCCUCUCUGUGCGAAGACUGAUGACCAUCCUAGGACUUCUUGGGCCUGGAAUUUUCUUGCUGGCAUUUUGUGCCGUUGACAACAUGCUGGCUGCAGUUAUUAUUGUUUCCAUAUCAAUGGGUAUGUGUGCUUGCAAUUCAGCUGGACAUCUUAGCAAUCAUGCUGACAUUGCUCCAAAUCAUGCAGGAGUGACAUUUGCCAUUUCAAAUACACUGGCAACAAUCCCAGGAAUUUUAUGUGGACCUUUGACUGCAGAAUUAGUGACACAAUCUCAUGGAAGAUGGUUUCCUGUAUUUGUUUUGGCUGCAGGCAUCAACUUCACUGGUGCUAUAAUUUAUGUGAGCCAAAGCUCAGCUUCACAAGUUCUAUGACCUCAUAAUCAUAUCACAAGAUCAAGAUGCUCUUCAUUUCAGAACGAAAAUUAAGAUUAUCCACAUGUGAUAUAAUGUUUCUUCAAGAUGAAUUAUUGAAACAACCUGAAAGAAUUCAGGCUUUUUGAGUGGGUUUUAAUGGCAUUGGGGCUAGGUUUUGUACUUAUUCAGUGAAAUGCUGAAUAUGACAAUGGACAGGGUACUCCUGCGAAAUGAUACCUCACAAGAAUGAGAUCCUCUAGUCUCCAGAAGUGUGAAAUCUGUGUGUGUUCUAUGUUUAUUCUUGUAACAUUUGGGGUGUUCCUCCAAACAGCAUGCUGGGGCAUGAAGGCACUUUUCAAGUUACUUUUGUGAUAUUGAGCUAGUUUUUCCAUUUAGAUGCUCUGAAUAGCAGAAAAAGAGAUGCUUCUGAUAUUUGGACGAAUUUAAGACUUGUGGCAGCAUUAUUUUGCCUAAAAAUUUCAUUUACAUUAAGUUGACAUAAAAAUAGUGAUAAUUUUGAGAUCUAUUAUGAGGGAAUUAUUAUACAUGCUCACUCUAGAAUUACUCAAGUGAGAAUCACCUCCAUUUUUCUGAAUCAUAUUUCACCUUAACUUCGUAACUAAUUGAUGUAGGUGAAACCUUUCCUUUUUGUUGUGUAAUCCUUGUUGGUCCGUGAUAGAGUGCCAAAGAUCGAGGAUGGCACUGGACCAGGAAUGACUUGAAGAAGGGGUGCGGAGAAGUUGUUUAAAUACAGCAGGUGAUGAAAUUUCAAACAAUCAUGAAUAAUUUGCUUCCUUAACUGGAGUAUUUGUGAAAUUAUUUCGGUUGUGGAUGAUAUCAAAGAUUAAUGUUUAUCUUAUCACCUAAUUUAUCCAUAUAUUGUGAUGCUCUAUUAAAAUAGCAAUCAAUUUUCUUGGCUUAAGGCGUGCCUGGAGUUGCACCAUGGCACUCCUAAUGUCCAUCCAUCCCCUCCGCAACUUAAUUAUGUCUUUGAGCAAGUUGUACUCUGAGAUUAGUUAUUGUAAAAAAAUGGACUGUAAAUAUAGAGGAAAAUAUUUUA